Molecule: transfer RNA, 73 nt
Filed under: Albula goreensis
Lineage: Eukaryota; Metazoa; Chordata; Actinopteri; Albuliformes; Albulidae
Rfam family: tRNA
About the family: Transfer RNA (tRNA) molecules are approximately 80 nucleotides in length. Their secondary structure includes four short double-helical elements and three loops (D, anti-codon, and T loops).
Source: Rfam by way of RNAcentral
GCCCGGCUAGCUCAGUCGGUAGAGCAUGAGACCCUUAAUCUCAGGGUUGUGGGUUCGAGCCCCAUGUUGUGUG